UCAAAUGUGAAUAGAGAAAAGAAUUGUAUAUUCCAUGUGGUCCUUUGCUUUAUUGAUGUUGGUAAUUUUUGAAUAACAUAAGGAUUUGGGAAUUUAUAAUUGAAGUAGGUACACCAUAUUUACACUGUUAUUCUCAGUCUAUAGAUGGGCCCACUUUGUUUCCAAAAUCAUAGCAGAGAAUGGAAUUUGAAAACAGAAUUUUUGAGUACAUAUUCAGGAAUAUUUAUAAUGUCCCCUAUGAAGGAAUGUACAAUAGGAAAGUGAAAUACAAUAUUCAUUCAACGAAAGGUGUGUAGGUAAAGUACUGGCCUUUAUAAAAUUAAGAAAACCUAGAAAAUUGAACUGUAUGUCACAGGAAUUGACCUGGGAAUAAAAAUAUUAUCCAGAAGAAUCUCCUCCACUCCAAGUUCCUAAAAAAUUUCUAUCCAUGCCAUGCCCCUGACUCAUUUUCUCCAUUCAGAAGUCACUAGCUUUAGAGAGAUGGAGAACGAAAGUUUCCACUGUGUCACAGGAGACAUACCUAAAUUGGCACCCUCAAAACUGGUUAAUGUAAGGAAAGCUGUUUAGAGUCAGGCCAUGGCAGUUCUCAGUGACAAUAUCAUUAGGCUCUCCCUGAAAAAUCUCUUGUAUCCUUGAGAGCACUAGCUUCUUCUGUGAUGUAAUAAGUGUUGUCCUGACUGCAAAUGCCUCUCAGAUAUUACUUCAGUACCUAUAGGUUUUACUAAUUGGCCUCAAAUUCAGGGGAAACAGUCAUUAGGGUGGGAGAACAAAGACGAUGAAGAAAUCAGAGAUGGGGAGAACGAAGCUGGUCUUCUGUCUUGGUAUAAAAGAAGGAAGAAAUACAUCAUCCCUGAGAAAUCUCACUGAAGCCUUGGUAGGAGUGGAAUAUGAAAAAUAGUCCUGAGGAAGGAGGGACAACAAGUAUUGUAUCGUCAUGUCAUCUCAAGAAAAACUCUCAAAACUCAUCCUGGCUGACAAUGUAGAUUAGACGCAUCAGAUGAAAUGAAUUGAAAAACUCUCCUGGGAAUGAAAGUGGUAAGGAAAUCACAUUGAUGUAUCCUAAAUGCAGUGCUAAGAGCAAUAUUCAGACUAGUCUGUGGAGAUGCUGCUGUCAUCAGAGACCACAGACAAUUAGUGGAGAAUGAUUCAGCAUUAAACUGGGAAUGGAAGAUGAUGGUUGAUAUUGUUCUAGUAGAUCUCACUACAUUAAAAAGUGUUUCUUCCAGAUAACUGAAUGAUUAUUGUAAAGCAAAUCCCGGAAUGAACUUAUGAGACCCACCAUCAGCCUGUCAAAUAAUGUGCGAAAGAAGAAAUCUGUGUCUCUCCAGGGACAAAUUGUUGCUUUCAAACCAACAGUAAAGUGUCCAUUCUAUGAAUGAUACAUUGAUAUAUACACAUUAUAGAAGGAUGGAUACAGAGUUUCUUCAGGUCCAUGAAUGAGGUAUUCAGCAGUUGACCUGGAGUAGCAAUGAGGGUAAUUUUUGCCAACUCUUCAGACUUGAGCUCCUUCACUAGGAUCCCCAUGAUUGAAGAAAAGAACAAACUUCAGACAAUUUGUCUCAGAUUUUUAUGUAGUUAAGAUUUCCUGGUCUUGGACCUAGGAAGGAAGGAUAUCUUGCUUUCCAAUUCUUGUUUAUCCUAUAAUCCUCUCUGCUGCAUUCAUGCAAAUAGAUUACUGUGCAUUUCUUUAAUAGGUUACAAUUGCUAUUUUAAUUAUGUUGCCAAGAACUAUAGAAAAAAAGAAGGACUGUAUCAAAGCAUCAUAUGAAAAUCCGACUAAGGUAAUGUGGCCAUUGGAAAUUUGUAACUGACCUGAAACUCUUACUAGAGACAAAAUGCCAUAAAAGGUCUUCUCUAGAUAUCUGGUGUAGUAGUUGGUGUUCCCCAACAGACAGUAAAGGAUGAAUCUCUCUGUACAGAGAAAUCGGACUAGUCACAAUGAUCACAGACUAUGGAACACAUAAUUUAACAAUGACUGACUAUUUGUAAAGUCCUAGAAUCCAUUAGUUUAUUAGUCCAAAAGGCAAGAUGUCUUAUCUGGUCAUUGACAUAUGGAUAAAUAUUCAGUAUGCAGGUUCUAAUGUCUAUGAGGAUUUGGUAUCACUGUGAGUGCAAAAAUGAAAAAGUAAAGGCUUCUUUCUUCCAUGUUUUCUACGGGGAUUCAAAUAGAAUGCAUGGUUUAGAAUACAUUGGGUUUGCCAUUCUCAAAUAGACCAAUAUCUUCAAAUGAACAUUCUUUUCUUGGAAGCUGCACCCUGUCAGCAUGGCUCACGUGUAUGUGAACUGCAAGAUCUAGUCUGGGAAGGCGGUCCUGUUCAUCGAUCCAACCUGUCCCUAAUACUGAAAUACCCAAGACUUCCUCAAUCAACUCCUUUGCAAACAUGGUCUUCUCGGAUUUGAAGACAUUACAUCUACUAACAACACCAAUUCAAUUCAAGAUUACUUUCAACAGCUCCCUGGAGUGAGAAUUGUUCCUUGGGUCCUUAUAUGUAGAGAAAGACUGCAUAGGCAGACACAGUGAUCUAAUCUACCUGCAACAGAAUGAAGAGAUGAUGUGGCUGAAGCAGAUUGGAGCUCUGCAUUUAUUAAAGGGAUGGCAGUAAAAGCCCAUGCUGACAGCAGACAUUCAGACAUGCUGAAGCCAUGCUGAGACUUGAUGUUUGUCACAGAUGAUGUCAGUAUUUUCUUAUGACUGGGAUUUUCAACAAAUUGGCUUUCAUUCUAUUCCUCAUUCCAAAAAAUCUGUUGCUGUAGGCC
This is a non-coding RNA of Rattus norvegicus (Norway rat), 2757 nucleotides long. NCBI's taxonomy places the organism in Eukaryota, Metazoa, Chordata, Mammalia, Rodentia, Muridae. The record is from RefSeq and is a predicted model, not a curated record.